GGUCAAAGGAACCACCCCUCCCUACCCACACCUUCGACGGAGUACUCGGUCACUGAAGGGCAAUACAAAUCGAACGGGGAAAUGAGAAGUCAUUUUCGUUGUCAUGAGCCCCUACGACCCGCUGCAGAACUGUACGUAUCAGAUCAUCUACGACUGACGGACCUGGUAGGGACAACACACAAGAGGGACCCGACAACGCGGGGGAGGGAACUCCGGCUUGUGCUUUCGAACUCACGGUUGCACAGGAUGUACAUGGCAGCAUUUCACAUCAAUGAAAACAGCCUAAAUACCCUAGAAGUGACCAAGACGGGAGAACCAAAGAGGGCAAACCAUUAACCCCUAGGGCUAAACAAAGAGGCCAAGCCAGUGAACAAGAGACCAACACGUGAGUAUGUGGAAUUCCUACUCAGGGCCAUUCUCGAGAGAAGAAACAUGUUUCCUUCCUACAGACUUGCAGGACACAACAGCCUAUUUUUCCAGGGUAUUCUGCCAGACACUUUCAUUUUUAACUAGUAAACAGGAACUGGUGAAUUCAAUGACAUCAAGAUAUAAAAUGAA
Molecule: long non-coding RNA, 558 nt
Organism: Haliotis rubra (blacklip abalone)
Lineage: Eukaryota; Metazoa; Mollusca; Gastropoda; Lepetellida; Haliotidae
Exons: 3
Source: RefSeq, a predicted model, not a curated record